UACGGAGGGGGCUAGCGUUGUUCGGAAUUACUGGGCGUAAAGGGCGCGUAGGCGGCGAUUCAAGUCAGGCGUGAAAGGCCUGGGCUCAACCCGGGAACUGCGUUUGAUACUGGAUUGCUGGAGUCCGGGAGAGGAUGGCGGAAUUCCCAGUGUAGAGGUGAAAUUCGUAGAUAUUGGGAAGAACACCGGUGGCGAAGGCGGCCAUCUGGACCGGAACUGACGCUGAGGCGCGAAAGCUAGGGGAGCAAGCAGG
This 253-nucleotide ribosomal RNA is filed under the name uncultured bacterium. RNAcentral's name for it is "partial 16S ribosomal RNA". It matches the Rfam family "Bacterial small subunit ribosomal RNA", at positions 524 to 776 of the family's 1533-position model. The record is from RNAcentral.